This is a long non-coding RNA of Carassius gibelio (silver crucian carp), 712 nucleotides long. RefSeq lists it as uncharacterized. The transcript has 4 exons. NCBI's taxonomy places the organism in Eukaryota, Metazoa, Chordata, Actinopteri, Cypriniformes, Cyprinidae. The record is from RefSeq and is a predicted model, not a curated record.
AGAUAACCAUGGUUGAUAAAUGGUCAGUAGAUGACACGUGCCACUGGCUUGAAACUAUAAACCUCAUUGAUGCAAAAGAAAGUUUCAGAGAUUCUGCAUGAAAUGACAAUGAGGUUUAAACCGACUUGGCGAAGAACAUGGAAACAUCUCUGAAUGAAAUGGCCCCAAACAUCAUCAGGAGUGUAAAAGAAGGAAGUCAAAAAAAAAACAAAAAAAUUACGCCAAUUUCAUUGGACUAGCAGAGGAAACCACAGAAGGUCUCGUUAGGAAUGCUGCACUCAUUUUAUUGCCAGCACUAUUUAAAGAAAACGCCAGCUUCCUCUACUGUGUAGAUAGUGAACCCAAAGGUGCUACACCAACCAUAGUGUUUAACGGCUCUCCUGAUCCCCUCAAGGCUGAAAGUGUCAGCAUUAUAAUGGACAAUGUGAACAUCAUAAGAGAGGCAGACAUUGACAUGACACAGGCUGUGGAAUGCCUAUUUGCAGUCUAUUUUCUCUUCAAUGUGCAGUACCCGGUUGACAUUAAGCACACAAUGACUUUUAUUUAAAAAUAUAUGCUUAACCUUAGACAACAGCACGGCAAAAGAACACCAAUACCUGUACUGAAAAUGUAUAGUCAACUUGUGUAAAUUGUAGAGCUAUUUAAUAGUUGUUUUAACUGUUCAUGUAUUGAUUUUUAUCUGCACUGUUAAAUAUAAAAAAGAUUUGUUUUU